Cimex lectularius (bed bug) is the source of this 295-nucleotide long non-coding RNA. RefSeq lists it as uncharacterized. The record is from RefSeq and is a predicted model, not a curated record. Lineage: Eukaryota; Metazoa; Arthropoda; Insecta; Hemiptera; Cimicidae. The transcript is spliced from 3 exons.
CAUGGCCGCCCCGCCCAGUUUGGUCGAACGUCUUUCGCGCCGCGCACCGCGUGUAAUUUUCUGACUUUUCCUUGUGCUUUUCCUCGCCCUUUUCUUGUCGAGUCUUUCUUUUUAUUCGCUUUCACUCUAUAUUACGCCGAAAAAACGCGAGUGCCAGCCCUCCAACGUAGAAGAAUCUCAGUCUGUCUGGAAUCGCCGAACGGUACGUGCAAACGAUAAUGAACACCCGAUUGUAUGUAUGUACAAACGAAAAUGUACUUCAGAACAUAUGUAAGUAAAUAGAUCAUUUAACAGU